This 455-nucleotide ribosomal RNA is filed under the name uncultured bacterium. RNAcentral describes it as "bacterial SSU rRNA". It matches the Rfam family "Bacterial small subunit ribosomal RNA", at positions 29 to 507 of the family's 1533-position model. The record is from RNAcentral.
AACGAACGCUGGCGGCAGGCUUAACACAUGCAAGUCGAACGCCCCGCAAGGGGAGUGGCAGACGGGUGAGUAACGCGUGGGAAUCUACCCAGAACUUCGGAACAACUGAGGGAAACUUCAGCUAAUACCGGAUACGCCCUACGGGGAAAGAUUUAUCGGUUCUGGAUGAGCCCGCGUUGGAUUAGCUAGUUGGUGAGGUAAAGGCUCACCAAGGCGACGAUCCAUAGCUGGUCUGAGAGGAUGAUCAGCCACACUGGGACUGAGACACGGCCCAGACUCCUACGGGAGGCAGCAGUGGGGAAUAUUGGACAAUGGGCGAAAGCCUGAUCCAGCCAUGCCGCGUGAGUGAUGAAGGCCUUAGGGUUGUAAAGCUCUUUCGGACGGAAAGAAAUCGCGCAGGUAAAUAAUCUGCGUGGAUGACGGUACCGUAAGAAGAAGCACCGGCUAACUACGUG